CAAUACCAGUGGCGAACGGGGUGAGUAACACGUAGGUAACCUGUCUUUAAGCCGAGGAUAACCAUUGGAAACGAUGGAUAAUACUGGAUAGGACAUUUGAAGGCAUCUUUAAUGUUUAAAGAUUUAUCACUUAGAGAGGGGCCUGCGGCGCAUUAGCUAGUUGGUGAGGUGAAGGCUUACCAAGGCGAUGAUGCGUAGCCGGACUGAGAGGUUGAACGGCCACAAUGGAACUGAGAACGGUCCAUACUCCUACGGGAGGCAGCAGUAGGGAAUUUUCGGCAAUGGGCGGAAGCCUGAACCCGAGCAACGCCGCGUGAACGAAGAAGUAUUUCGGUAUGUAAAGUUCUUUUAUUAGGGACGAAAAGACAGAUUGACGGUACCUAAUGAAUAAGCUCCGGCUAACUACGUGCCAGCAGCCGC
RNAcentral lists this ribosomal RNA (420 nucleotides) under uncultured bacterium. Its description in RNAcentral is "bacterial SSU rRNA". It matches the Rfam family "Bacterial small subunit ribosomal RNA", at positions 87 to 518 of the family's 1533-position model. The record is from RNAcentral.